Molecule: ribosomal RNA, 450 nt
Filed under: uncultured bacterium
Lineage: Bacteria
Description: partial 16S ribosomal RNA
Rfam family: Bacterial small subunit ribosomal RNA
Source: RNAcentral
GUGGGGAAUAUUCCGCAAUGGACGAAAGUCUGACGGAGCAACGCCGCGUGAGUGAUGAAGGUUUUCGGACUGUAAAGCUCUGUUGUUUAGGACGAAAGUGCCUGUUGUGAACAGUUACAGGUAUUGACGGUACUAAACGAGGAAGCCACGGCUAACUAUGUGCCAGCAGCCGCGGUAAUACGUAGGUGGCAAGCGUUGUCCGGAAUUAUUGGGCGUAAAGAGCAUGUAGGCGGAGAUUUAAGUCUGUUGUGAAAAUGCGGGGCUCAACCCCGUAUUGCGAUGGAAACUGAAUUUCUUGAGUGCAGGAGAGGAAAGGGGAAUUCCCAGUGUAGCGGUGAAAUGCGUAGAUAUUGGGAGGAACACCAGUGGCGAAGGCGCCUUUCUGGACUGUGUCUGACGCUGAGAUGCGAAAGCCAGGGUAGCGAACGGGAUUAGAUACCCGAGUAGUCC